UGUACUCGCACCAGAAGGUUUUGAAACUGAAGAUUGCUUUAUUUUUAAAGUAAAAUACAUAUUUGAAAUAUGUAUAGAAUGAAUUAAACUCAAAAAUACUCACCAAUUUCAAAAAUCUACAGGAUCAUGAUUUUUCUGUUCUCCACGUCGACAUUGAAUUCAAACAAAAUAUAUUUGGAUAUCAAUCAAACAAAAAUAAAAAAUUUAUUCGAAUUACAUUUACCAACAUAAACUACGUCAACGUCGGCAAACGCCUGCUCGAGAAUGGAUUUGCCUUUGGGGACAAGCAAAGUCAUUUCUACCAAAUCUUCGAGUCAGACGUGUCUAUCGAGAUACGCUUUAUGAUUGAUUUGGACAUGACUGGGUGUUGUUGGUGUGAGAUUGAUUCUCGGUACUUUACUCAGAGGGAUCCAAAGGAGUGUAUUUCUCGCUGUUCUGUGGAGAUUGAUGUGGAAUAUUCACGAAUUAAGGCUUAUCCGGCUAUAGAUAGUCAGUGGGAGGCGAUUGCUCCUCUUCGUAUUUUGAGUUUCGACAUUGAAUGUGCUGGAAGAAAAGGUAUUUUUCCACAGCCUUCCCAAGACCCAGUAAUUCAGAUAGCAAAUGUUUUAAAGUCAUACAACUCAGAUCAGCAGUCAGAAACCAAUCUAAUAUUCACUUUAUCAACCUGUGCCCCAAUUAUAGGAGCGACGGUCAUU
Long non-coding RNA from Octopus sinensis (East Asian common octopus), 695 nucleotides. RefSeq lists it as uncharacterized. The record is from RefSeq and is a predicted model, not a curated record. NCBI's taxonomy places the organism in Eukaryota, Metazoa, Mollusca, Cephalopoda, Octopoda, Octopodidae. The transcript is spliced from 4 exons.